This is a ribosomal RNA of 524 nucleotides. The stretch from base 165 to 318 matches the Rfam family "5.8S ribosomal RNA".
ACGCUCUAUAACCCUUUGUGAACAUACCUAUAACUGUUGCUUCGGCGGGUAGGGUCUCCGCGACCCUCCCGGCCUCCCGCCUCCGGGCGGGUCGGCGCCCGCCGGAGGAUAACCAAACUCUGAUUUAACGACGUUUCUUCUGAGUGGUACAAGCAAAUAAUCAAAACUUUUAACAACGGAUCUCUUGGUUCUGGCAUCGAUGAAGAACGCAGCGAAAUGCGAUAAGUAAUGUGAAUUGCAGAAUUCAGUGAAUCAUCGAAUCUUUGAACGCACAUUGCGCCCGCCAGCAUUCUGGCGGGCAUGCCUGUUCGAGCGUCAUUUCAACCCUCAAGCUCUGCUUGGUGUUGGGGCCCUACAGCUGAUGUAGGCCCUCAAAGGUAGUGGCGGACCCUCCCGGAGCCUCCUUUGCGUAGUAACUUUACGUCUCGCACUGGGAUCCGGAGGGACUCUUGCCGUAAAACCCCCCAAUUUUCCAAAGGUUGACCUCGGAUCAGGUAGGAAUACCCGCUGAACUUAAGCAUAUA